RNAcentral lists this long non-coding RNA (1993 nucleotides) under Cyanistes caeruleus (blue tit). RNAcentral describes it as "lncRNA (ENSCCEG00000003658.1)". The record is from RNAcentral. Lineage: Eukaryota; Metazoa; Chordata; Aves; Passeriformes; Paridae.
GAGGCCACCAAGGUCACUGAGGCUACUAUGGCCACCAAGGACACCGAGGUCCCUGUGGUCACUGCGGCCACCAGGACCCUCUGAGCCAUGAGGCCACCAAGGUCACCGAGGUCACUGCGGCCACCCAAGGACACCGGGACCUCCUGAGUGACAAGGCCACCACCACGGUCACUUUGGCCACUGUGGUUGCUGUGGUCACUUUGGCCACCACGAGCACUGGGGUCACCAAGGCCACCAGGACCCCCUGAGCCACAAGGCCACCACCAAGGCCACCACUGUCACUGUGGUCACUUUGGCCACCGUGGUUAUUGGGCCACUGGAGUCACCACUGUCACCAUGGCCAUUGUGGCCACUGUGACCACUGAGGCCACCAUGGCCACCAAGGCCACCACGGCCACCAUGGCCACCAAAGCCACCAUGGCCACCAAGGCCACCGUGGUCACUAUGGCCACCAAGGUCACCAAGGCCACCAUGGCCACUGUAGCCACCAUGGUCACUGUGGCCACCAAGGCCACCAAGACCACCCUGGCCACCAAGGCCAUCAUGGCCACCAUGGCCACUGUAGCCACCAUGGCCACAACAGUCACCAUGGUCACUGUGGCCACCAAGGCCACCAAGGCCAUCAUGGCCACCAUGGCCACUGUAGCCACCAAGGCUACCAAGGCUACCACAACCAUCAAGGCCACCAAGGCCACUAUGACCACCAUGGCCACUGUAGCCACUGUGGCCACCAAGGCCACCAUGGUCACCAAGGUCACCAAGGCCACCAAAGCCACCAAGUCUACUAAGGCCACCAAGGCCACCAUGGCCACCAAAGCCACCGUGGCCACCGUGGCCAGGACAAGGGGACAGAGCCAUGGUUGCCACCAGGAGCAGGGACAGGACCGGGGGACAGGGCAGGGGACAGGACAGGACAGGGGGUGGUGGCCGCGGUUCUUCGCUUUUGGGGAUUUUUUACGUCCCUUUCCCGAUAAUUUUAAUUCUUCCGGAUAAUUAAACUGGAUUUGCCUCAAUCAAAAAAUGAUCCUCUCACUUUGACCCAAAUUAAGGGAUUUGGGGUCGGGUUUAUUUGAUUUAGACCCAAAUUAAGGGAUUUGGGGUCCGGUUUGGGGGAUUUAGACCCAAAUUAAGGGAUUUGGGGUCAGGUUUAUUUGAUUUAGACCCAAAUUAAGGGAUUUGGGGUCUGGUUUGGGGGAUUUAGACCCAAAUUAAGGGAUUUGGGGUCCGGUUUGGGGGAUUUAGACCCAAAUUAAGGGAUUUGGGGUCCGGUUUGGGGGAUUUAGACCCAAAUUAAGGGAUUUGGGGUCCGGUUUAGGGGAUUUAGACCCAAAUUAAGGGAUUUGGGGUCAGGUUUAUUUGAUUUAGACCCAAAUUAAGGGAUUUGGGGUCCGGUUUGGGGGAUUUAGACCCAAAUUAAGGGAUUUGGGGUCCGGUUUGGGGGAUUUAGACCCAAAUUAAGGGAUUUAGGCCUAAAUUAGGAGGUUUAGACCCAAAUUAAGGGAUCUGGAUUCAGGGAUUUCAACCUGAAUUGAAGUUUUUGGGCCUGAAUUAAAGGAUUUUAAUCAGAAUUAAGGAAUUUCAACCUGAAUUAGGAGUUUUCAGCCUGAACUAAGGGAUCUCAAUCUGAAUUAAGGGAUUUCAACCAGAAUCAAGUGAUUAAAACCAGAAUGAGAUGAUCUAAACAAUAAUUAAGCGAUUUAAGCCAUAAUUAAGCGAUUUAAAUCAUAAUUAAGCUAUUUAAACCAGAAUCAAUUUAUUUAAAUCAGAAUUAAUUUAUUUAAACCAGAAUCAAUUGAUUUAUAUCAGAAUUAAGCGAUUUAAACCACAAUUAAGUGAUUUAAGCCAGAAUUAAGCGAUUUAAACCCGAAUUAAGCGAUUUAAACCCGAAUUAAGCGAUUUUAACCCGAAUUAAGCGAUUUAAACCGAAUUAAGCGAUUUAAACCCGAAUUAAGCGAUUUAAACCCGAAAUAAGCGAUUUAAACCCGAAUUAAGU